UUUGGGGAAAAGAGGAAGGAGAAGCAGGAACUGAGUCUGAAGAAAGGAGAACACGUGAAAGUGAGAAGAGCCAAAGGGGAAGAGAACCUUCGAAGUUCGACUCUGAGAUUAAGGAUGUAGCGGCGUCUUGAUUGGGUGAAGAUAGCUUAUAGGCUAGCCCUUAGUCCGUGUCGAGUCAUGCUCUGAAUGUAACACUGGGGAACGCUAGUUUAGAGACGAGUUAUUAUGUCGGUCUUUGUUGUUUAUAAUUGUAUUAGAGAACUUGCAUGAAUGAUGAUGAUUAUGCAAUGUUAUGAAUUAUAAUCCGCUGUGUUGAACAUGAAUUGUAUUUAUGUUAAAUGGUUCCUCGUGUGGCAUGACAAAUGACUAUAGUAUUUUAUGUUAAAGAAGUUGUGA
Molecule: long non-coding RNA, 396 nt
Organism: Vicia villosa (hairy vetch)
Lineage: Eukaryota; Viridiplantae; Streptophyta; Magnoliopsida; Fabales; Fabaceae
Exons: 2
Source: RefSeq, a predicted model, not a curated record